Molecule: ribosomal RNA, 133 nt
Filed under: Pantoea dispersa
Lineage: Bacteria; Pseudomonadati; Pseudomonadota; Gammaproteobacteria; Enterobacterales; Erwiniaceae
Description: partial 16S ribosomal RNA
Rfam family: Bacterial small subunit ribosomal RNA
Source: RNAcentral
UUAAAUUGAAGAGUUUGAUCAUGGCUCAGAUUGAACGCUGGCGGCAGGCCUAACACAUGCAAGUCGAACGGCAGCACAGAAGAGCUUGCUCUUUGGGUGGCGAGUGGCGGACGGGUGAGUACAGGCUUGGGAA